UUGCCAACCUGCCGUCUACUCUUGGCCAGUCCUUCUGAAAGGAAGAUUAAUCCAGGAUGGGAUCAUGAGUUCACAUGUCCGCAUGAUUAAAGGUAUUUUCCGGUAGACGAUGGGGAUGCGUUCCAUUAGAUAGUAGGCGGGGUAACGGCCCACCUAGUCAACGAUGGAUAGGGGUUCUGAGAGGAAGGUCCCCCACAUUGGAACUGAGACACGGUCCAAACUCCUACGGGAGGCAGCAGUGAGGAAUAUUGGUCAAUGGGCGAUGGCCUGAACCAGCCAAGUAGCGUGAAGGAUGACUGCCCUAUGGGUUGUAAACUUCUUUUAUAAAGGAAUAAAGUCGGGUAUGCAUACCCGUUUGCAUGUACUUUAUGAAUAAGGAUCGGCUAACUCCGUGCCAGCAGCCGCGGUAAUACGGAGGAUCCNAGCGUUAUCCGGAUUUAUUGGGUU
Molecule: ribosomal RNA, 447 nt
Filed under: Phocaeicola dorei
Lineage: Bacteria; Pseudomonadati; Bacteroidota; Bacteroidia; Bacteroidales; Bacteroidaceae
Description: bacterial SSU rRNA
Rfam family: Bacterial small subunit ribosomal RNA
Source: RNAcentral